RNAcentral lists this ribosomal RNA (402 nucleotides) under Sphingomonas sp. RNAcentral describes it as "bacterial SSU rRNA". It matches the Rfam family "Bacterial small subunit ribosomal RNA", at positions 355 to 774 of the family's 1533-position model. The record is from RNAcentral. RNAcentral also lists the same sequence under 3 other names. Lineage: Bacteria; Pseudomonadati; Pseudomonadota; Alphaproteobacteria; Sphingomonadales; Sphingomonadaceae.
UGGGGAAUAUUGGACAAUGGGCGAAAGCCUGAUCCAGCAAUGCCGCGUGAGUGAUGAAGGCCUUAGGGUUGUAAAGCUCUUUUACCCGGGAUGAUAAUGACAGUACCGGGAGAAUAAGCUCCGGCUAACUCCGUGCCAGCAGCCGCGGUAAUACGGAGGGAGCUAGCGUUGUUCGGAAUUACUGGGCGUAAAGCGCACGUAGGCGGCUUUGUAAGUUAGAGGUGAAAGCCUGGAGCUCAACUCCAGAACUGCCUUUAAGACUGCAUCGCUUGAAUCCAGGAGAGGUGAGUGGAAUUCCGAGUGUAGAGGUGAAAUUCGUAGAUAUUCGGAAGAACACCAGUGGCGAAGGCGGCUCACUGGACUGGUAUUGACGCUGAGGUGCGAAAGCGUGGGGAGCAAACA